RNAcentral lists this long non-coding RNA (903 nucleotides) under Olea europaea subsp. europaea. Lineage: Eukaryota; Viridiplantae; Streptophyta; Magnoliopsida; Lamiales; Oleaceae. The record is from RNAcentral.
GACUUCAACAUUUGUCUGACCCAUAAUAGGAUGAUGUUCAACAACCAUAAUUUUAAAAUGAACACGCUAAAAGUUGAGUGCUGAACUUUAAAAAAUGGUAGCAUUCAACAGAUGGAGAUUGUCUUCAAGUACAAACACCAACACAGUUGAUACAAAAUUGUUAACUCCAAGUGUGGAUAUCAGAUUUACAAUAUACAAGAUUAUAUUUAUUGAAUCAGCUAUUCUUCAUUUGUAUAUAACUAGAUAGAUAGAACUUGUCUACCACCCAUCUAUCUCUCCUCGCUGAAGCCGCUCCGUCUCACUCUGUUGUCCUAGUCCUCGAAUCCUAAGGUGCAGUGGAUUAGCAACAGUCGAGAACCUCACAUUUUGUACAGGAUUCUGUAUUUCCACCACCUCCCGAACUAUUAUCUUCCUCAAUGAAUUUGCAUCCCUACUUUAGACCUCAAUGCAUCGGACACUGCUUCCAAAUCCAUUAUUCCACCACUGUUCACUACCCUUAUUCCGUAUUUCGCCACCAAUCACUACCCUUCUUCAUAUCCGCUCUGCUAGUUCUGUCAUUGGUGCCGCUGUCAAACUUUCUUGAAUACUUGCUGAGGCAAGUAUCUCAUAAUUUCAAUAGAUGUCCUAACACAACAUCAUUUCUAAUGAUUGUCUUCAUAAAAAUCAAAUUACACGGGAAAGUAAAAGAAUUUACCAGGAAAACUAACAAAACUUUGGUCCUCACCUCAAAUUGAAUGGAGAAAGAGGUAUGAUUUGAUGAUGGCUGAUGAAAAACGUUAAAAAGGGUCGCCAAUUAUCGACCAAAAUCAUGAGAAUCGCAGGAAAUUGGCCGAGAGAAAUCAUUGGUUUAGGGUUUGGUUGGAGUUAAAUUGCAUUCUUUUUUUUCUUCUGAGAACUUAAAAU